This 492-nucleotide ribosomal RNA is filed under the name uncultured bacterium. RNAcentral describes it as "partial 16S ribosomal RNA". It matches the Rfam family "Bacterial small subunit ribosomal RNA", at positions 29 to 507 of the family's 1533-position model. The record is from RNAcentral.
AGUGAACGCUGGCGGUAGGCCUAACACAUGCAAGUCGAACGGCAGCACAGUAAGAGCUUGCUCUUACGGGUGGCGAGUGGCGGACGGAUGAGGAAUACAUCGGAAUCUACUUUUUCGUGGGGGAUAACGUAGGGAAACUUACGCUAAUACCGCAUACGACCUACGGGUGAAAGCAGGGGAUCUUCGGACCUUGCGCGAUUGAAUGAGCCGAUGUCGGAUUAGCUAGUUGGCGGGGUAAAGGCCCACCAAGGCGACGAUCCGUAGCUGGUCUGAGAGGAUGAUCAGCCACACUGGAACUGAGACACGGUCCAGACUCCUACGGGAGGCAGCAGUGGGGAAUAUUGGACAAUGGGCGCAAGCCUGAUCCAGCCAUACCGCGUGGGUGAAGAAGGCCUUCGGGUUGUAAAGCCCUUUUGUUGGGAAAGAAAAGCAGCAGGCUAAUACCCCGCUGUUCUGACGGUACCCAAAGAAUAAGCACCGGCUAACUUCGUG